Molecule: ribosomal RNA, 1098 nt
Filed under: uncultured Candidatus Saccharibacteria bacterium
Lineage: Bacteria; Candidatus Saccharimonadota
Description: bacterial SSU rRNA
Rfam family: Bacterial small subunit ribosomal RNA
Source: RNAcentral
GAUGAACGCUGGCGGCGUGCCUAACACAUGCAAGUCGAGCGGCAGCGAAGGGUGCUUGCACCCUGUCGGCGAGCGGCGGACGGCUGAGUAACGCGUGGGAACGUGCCCCAAAGUGAGGAAUAACUGCCCGAAAGGGUAGCUAAUACCGCAUAUUAUCUUCGGAUCAAAGGAUUUAUCCGCUUUGGGAGCGGCCCGCGUCGGAUUAGGUAGUUGGUGAGGUAAUGGCUCACCAAGCCGACGAUCCGUAGCUGGUCUGAGAGGAUGACCAGCCAGACUGGAACUGAGACACGGUCCAGACUCCUACGGGAGGCAGCAGUGAGGAAUCUUCCACAAUGGGCGAAAGCCUGAUGGAGCAACGCCGCGUGCAGGACGAAGGCCCUCGGGUUGUAAACUGCUUUUAUAAGUGAGGAAUAUGACGGUAACUUAUGAAUAAGGAUCGGCUAACUACGUGCCAGCAGCCGCGGUCAUACGUAGGAUCCGAGCGUUAUCCGGAGUGACUGGGCGUAAAGAGUUGCGUAGGCGGUUGUAUAAGUGAAUAGUGAAAUCUGGUGGCUCAACCAUACAGGCUAUUAUUCAAACUGUACAACUCGAGAGUGGUAGAGGUCACUGGAAUUUCUUGUGUAGGAGUGAAAUCCGUAGAUAUAAGAAGGAACACCGAUGGCGUAGGCAGGUGACUGGACCAUUUCUGACGCUAAGGCACGAAAGCGUGGGGAGCGAACCGGAUUAGAUACCCGGGUAGUCCACGCCGUAAACGAUGGAUACUGGCUGUUGGAGGUAUCGACCCCUUCAGUAGCGAAGCUAACGCGUUAAGUAUCCCGCCUGUGGAGUACAGCCGCAAGGCUAAAACAUAAAGGAAUUGACGGGGACCCGCACAAGCGGUGGAUCGUGUUCUUUAAUUCGAUGCUAAACGAAGAACCUUACCAGGGCUUGACAUCCAGGGAAUUUUUGGGAAACCAAUUAGUGCCUUUUGGAACCCUGUGACAGGUGAUGCAUGGCCGUCGUCAGCUCGUGUCGUGAGAUGUUUGGUUAAGUCCAUCAACGAGCGCAACCCUUGCAACUAGUUGGAUUUUUCUAGUUGGACUGCUUCGGUAACGGAGA